GAUGAACGCUAGCGGCAGGCCUAACACAUGCAAGUCGAGGGGUAGCAGGAUUAAGCUUGCUUAAUUGCUGACGACCGGCGCACGGGUGCGUAACGCGUAUGCAACCUACCUUAUACUGGGGUAUAGCCCGGAGAAAUUCGGAUUAAUCCCCCAUAGUACUAAUGAAUCGCAUGGUUUAUGAGUUAAAUCAUUGCGGGAGAAGUUGGGCAUGCGUCCUAUUAGCUAGAUGGUGAGGUAACGGCUCACCAUGGCUACGAUAGGUAGGGGGCCUGAGAGGGUGGUCCCCACACUGGUACUGAGACACGGACCAGACUCCUACGGGAGGCAGCAGUGAGGAAUAUUGGUCAAUGGGCGCAAGCCUGAACCAGCCAUGCCGCGUGCAGGAAGAAUGCCCUAUGGGUUGUAAACUGCUUUUAUUUGGGAAUAAACCUCAUUACGUGUAGAGAGCUGAAGGUACCAAAUGAAUAAGCACCGGCUAACUCCGUGCCAGCAGCCGCGGUAA
Molecule: ribosomal RNA, 502 nt
Filed under: uncultured bacterium
Lineage: Bacteria
Description: partial 16S ribosomal RNA
Rfam family: Bacterial small subunit ribosomal RNA
Source: RNAcentral